Molecule: non-coding RNA, 297 nt
Organism: Caenorhabditis elegans
Lineage: Eukaryota; Metazoa; Nematoda; Chromadorea; Rhabditida; Rhabditidae
Source: Ensembl
GUAUUAGGUUACUGUUAAGCUUUCUGUGUUUGAAUAACCCCGAAGAGACUUUUUUGGCGGCUUGGUGAGCCUGGCCUGGUGGCAGCGGCAAAAGUCAAGGGACUAACCGACCAUACGGUAUAAGGUAACCGCUGCACAAGGACCUGCUAAUCUGUCAUUCAACCUGAACAAAUACAGUGAAGUCCGUUACCUGAUUUUUAAAUGUGUAUGUGGUAGACUAGUAUAGAAAUUAUACGGUGAAUACUAACCAUAAUCUCAGUUAAAAAGUCCUUUAUAGGUGGAGUACCGAAAUCUAGA